UAUUGCACAAUGGGCGAAAGCCUGAUGCAGCAACGCCGCGUGAGUGAUGAAGGCCUUCGGGUUGUAAAGCUCUGUCUUCUGGGACGAUAAUGACGGUACCAGAGGAGGAAGCCACGGCUAACUACGUGCCAGCAGCCGCGGUAAUACGUAGGUGGCAAGCGUUGUCCGGAUUUACUGGGCGUAAAGGAUGCGUAGGCGGAUACUUAAGUCAGAUGUGAAAAUCCCGGGCUUAACUUGGGAACUGCAUUUGAAACUGGGUAUCUAGAGUGCGGGAGAGGACAGUGGAAUUCCUAGUGUAGCGGUGAAAUGCGUAGAGAUUAGGAAGAACACCAGUGGCGAAGGCGACUUUCUGGACCGUAACUGACGCUGAGGCAUGAAAGCGUGGGGAG
This 389-nucleotide ribosomal RNA is filed under the name uncultured bacterium. RNAcentral describes it as "bacterial SSU rRNA". It matches the Rfam family "Bacterial small subunit ribosomal RNA", at positions 362 to 768 of the family's 1533-position model. The record is from RNAcentral.